GACGAACGCUGGCGGCGUGCUUAACACAUGCAAGUCGAACGGAAAGGCCCUGCUUUUGUGGGGUGCUCGAGUGGCGAACGGGUGAGUAACACGUGAGUAACCUGCCCUUGACUUUGGGAUAACUUCAGGAAACUGGGGCUCAUACCGGAUAGGAGCUCCUGCUGCAUGGUGGGGGUUGGAAAGUUUCGGCGGUUGGGGAUGGACUCGCGGCUUAUCAGCUUGUUGGUGGGGUAGUGGCUUACCAAGGCUUUGACGGCUAGCCGGCCUGAGAGGGUGACCGGCCACAUGGGGACUGAGAUACGGCCCAGACUCCUACGGGAGGCAGCAGUGGGGAAUAUUGCACAAUGGGCGGAAGCCUGAUGCAGCAACGCCGCGUGCGGGAUGACGGCCUUCGGGUUGUAAACCGCUUUCGCCUGUGACGAAGCGUGAGUGACGGUAAUGGGUAAAGAAGCACCGGCUAACUACGUG
RNAcentral lists this ribosomal RNA (468 nucleotides) under uncultured bacterium. RNAcentral's name for it is "partial 16S ribosomal RNA". It matches the Rfam family "Bacterial small subunit ribosomal RNA", at positions 28 to 507 of the family's 1533-position model. The record is from RNAcentral.